RNAcentral lists this ribosomal RNA (748 nucleotides) under Escherichia coli. RNAcentral describes it as "partial 23S ribosomal RNA". It matches the Rfam family "Bacterial large subunit ribosomal RNA", at positions 556 to 1303 of the family's 2925-position model. The record is from RNAcentral. Lineage: Bacteria; Pseudomonadati; Pseudomonadota; Gammaproteobacteria; Enterobacterales; Enterobacteriaceae.
CCGUGUACGUACAAGCAGUGGGAGCACGCUUAGGCGUGUGACUGCGUACCUUUUGUAUAAUGGGUCAGCGACUUAUAUUCUGUAGCAAGGUUAACCGAAUAGGGGAGCCGAAGGGAAACCGAGUCUUAACUGGGCGUUAAGUUGCAGGGUAUAGACCCGAAACCCGGUGAUCUAGCCAUGGGCAGGUUGAAGGUUGGGUAACACUAACUGGAGGACCGAACCGACUAAUGUUGAAAAAUUAGCGGAUGACUUGUGGCUGGGGGUGAAAGGCCAAUCAAACCGGGAGAUAGCUGGUUCUCCCCGAAAGCUAUUUAGGUAGCGCCUCGUGAAUUCAUCUCCGGGGGUAGAGCACUGUUUCGGCAAGGGGGUCAUCCCGACUUACCAACCCGAUGCAAACUGCGAAUACCGGAGAAUGUUAUCACGGGAGACACACGGCGGGUGCUAACGUCCGUCGUGAAGAGGGAAACAACCCAGACCGCCAGCUAAGGUCCCAAAGUCAUGGUUAAGUGGGAAACGAUGUGGGAAGGCCCAGACAGCCAGGAUGUUGGCUUAGAAGCAGCCAUCAUUUAAAGAAAGCGUAAUAGCUCACUGGUCGAGUCGGCCUGCGCGGAAGAUGUAACGGGGCUAAACCAUGCACCGAAGCUGCGGCAGCGACGCUGAUGCGUUGUUGGGUAGGGGAGCGUUCUGUAAGCCUGUGAAGGUGUGCUGUGAGGCAUGCUGGAGGUAUCAGAAGUGCGAAUGCUGACAU